AUUGAACGCUGGCGGCAGGCUUAACACAUGCAAGUCGAGCGGAGAGAGGUAGCUUGCUACUGAUCUUAGCGGCGGGCGGGUGAGUAAUGCUUAGGAAUCUGCCUAUUAGUGGGGGACAACAUUUCGAAAGGAAUGCUAAUACCGCAUACGUCCUACGGGAGAAAGCAGGGGAUCUUCAGACCUUGCGCUAAUAGAUGAGCCUAAGUCGGAUUAGCUAGUUGGUGGGGUAAAGGCCUACCAAGGCGACGAUCUGUAGCGGGUCUGAGAGGAUGAUCCGCCACACUGGGACUGAGACACGGCCCAGACUCCUACGGGAGGCAGCAGUGGGGAAUAUUGGACAAUGGGCGCAAGCCUGAUCCAGCCAUGCCGCGUGUGUGAAGAAGGCCUUAUGGUUGUAAAGCACUUUAAGCGAGGAGGAGGCUACUUUAGUUAAUACCUAGAGAUAGUGGACGUUACUCGCAGAAUAAGCACCGGCUAACUACGUGCCAGCAGCCGCCGUAA
This 501-nucleotide ribosomal RNA is filed under the name uncultured bacterium. RNAcentral's name for it is "partial 16S ribosomal RNA". It matches the Rfam family "Bacterial small subunit ribosomal RNA", at positions 30 to 523 of the family's 1533-position model. The record is from RNAcentral.